AUUUAUAUCCGUAUAUCGUGGGGGGGGGCAUCCCAGUGUGACCCCAGUGGGUGAAUGUCACCUGCCGGUGACACCCAGGCCCCACUGGUCCCAUCCCGGUAUGGUGCUGGUGCCCCAAAUGGACCCAAGUGCCCCAUCCCCAGUAUCACUCCAGUUGUCAAAUGUCCCAUCCCAGUAUCACCCCAGUCUCCAGUUGUCCCUUCCCAGUAUCCCCCCAGUCUGCAAAUGUCCCAUCCCAGUAUGACCCCAGUCCCCAAAUGUCCCAUCCCAGUACCACCCAGUCCCCACUGGUCCCAUCCCAGUAUCACUCCAGUCCCAAAUGUCCCCUCCCAGUAUGACCCCAGUCCCCAUAGAUCCCAUCCCAGUAUCACCCCAGCCUCCAGUUGUCCCUUCCCAGUAUCCCCCCAUUCUGCAAAUGUCCCGUCCCAGUAUCACCCUAGCCCCCCAACAUCCCAUCCCAGUACCCCCCCAGUCCCCAAAUGUCCCCUCCCAGUACCACCCAGUCCCCACAGAUCCCAUCCCAGUACCAAGCCAGUGGCCCAAAUGGACCCAAAGGCCCCAUCCCAGUAUCACUCCAGUGCCCCCAUG
Molecule: long non-coding RNA, 588 nt
Filed under: Numida meleagris (helmeted guineafowl)
Lineage: Eukaryota; Metazoa; Chordata; Aves; Galliformes; Numididae
Description: lncRNA (ENSNMEG00000002595.1)
Source: RNAcentral